GAUGAACGCUAGCUACAGGCUUAACACAUGCAAGUCGCGGGGCAGCAUGGGGGUUGCUUGCACUCCCCGAUGGCGACCGGCGCACGGGUGAGUAACGCGUAUCCAACCUGCCCUUCACCACGGGAUAACCCGGCGAAAGUCGGACUAAUACCGUAUGUUGUCCAUUGACGGCAUCCGAUUUGGACGAAAGGCUUGGCGGUGAGGGAUGGGGAUGCGUCCGAUUAGCCAGACGGCGGGGUAACGGCCCACCGUGGCUACGAUCGGUAGGGGUUCUGAGAGGAAGGUCCCCCACACGGGAACUGAGACACGGUCCAGACUCCUACGGGAGGCAGCAGUGAGGAAUAUUGGUCAAUGGGCGUAAGCCUGAACCAGCCAAGUAGCGUGCAGGAGGACGGCCCUAUGGGUUGUAAACUGCUUUUAUGCGGGGAUAAAGUGGCCCACGUGUGGGCUUUUGCAGGUACCGCAUGAAUAAGGACCGGCUAAUUCCGUG
RNAcentral lists this ribosomal RNA (490 nucleotides) under uncultured bacterium. RNAcentral's name for it is "partial 16S ribosomal RNA". It matches the Rfam family "Bacterial small subunit ribosomal RNA", at positions 28 to 507 of the family's 1533-position model. The record is from RNAcentral.